RNAcentral lists this small RNA (559 nucleotides) under Drosophila pseudoobscura pseudoobscura. RNAcentral's name for it is "GA31157". Lineage: Eukaryota; Metazoa; Arthropoda; Insecta; Diptera; Drosophilidae. The record is from RNAcentral.
UAUCUACCAUAUUUUCAAUACGAAUAUGAGGGAUUUGUUUACUUUGACUUUUGAUAAUGUGCCGUGCCACUUUAAUUGCGCAUCUUCAAAAUAUAUUGGAAAUCUUUUGCAAUCUAUGCAAAAUUUAUUUCUUUGUAUCUUUCCAAAGAAGCAGGCCCAAGCAUUAUCAAUCAAUAGAUACAAUGACCAGGUGCGAAAUUUAUCUCAAGUGGAGUACUCGAGAACUCAGUUUACUUAUUGUAUAUUUAAAUUGACAAUUUUUUUUUGUUUUUUUUAUAACCUUGUUUCAGCUUAUAUAUAUAUUUAUAUUAUAAACAAAACUAUAGACACUGAUUAGAUAGAGGAGAGGAGUGUAGUUUCGAGCAGAGAGGCGGCCAGGCCGCAGGAAAGAUCUAAGGUCGAGUUCCGCGUUACUUUAUCAGUUGCAGCCUUUCAAAUUUCUUCUGGCGCGGCGCUCUCACAAUAGCCCAUGCAUGUGCAUAUAUAAGAACACCAAUCGACAAUAUUCCAACCAAAUGUUUGUUUCAAUAAAUAUGUAAAGAUUUGCUCGAAUCUCAUA